RNAcentral lists this ribosomal RNA (496 nucleotides) under uncultured bacterium. Its description in RNAcentral is "partial 16S ribosomal RNA". It matches the Rfam family "Bacterial small subunit ribosomal RNA", at positions 28 to 506 of the family's 1533-position model. The record is from RNAcentral.
GAUGAACGCUGGCGGCGUGCCUAAUACAUGCAAGUCGAGCGAACAGACGAGGAGCUUGCUCCUCUGACGUUAGCGGCGGACGGGUGAGUAACACGUGGAUAACCUACCUAUAAGACUGGGAUAACUUCGGGAAACCGGAGCUAAUACCGGAUAAUAUAUUGAACCGCAUGGUUCAAUAGUGAAAGACGGUUUUGCUGCCACUUAUAGAUGGAUCCGCGCCGCAUUAGCUAGUUGGUAAGGUAACGGCUUACCAAGGCAACGAUGCGUAGCCGACCUGAGAGGGUGAUCGGCCACACUGGAACUGAGACACGGUCCAGACGCCGACGGGAGGCAGCAGUAGGGAAUCUUCCGCAAUGGGCGAAAGCCUGACGGAGCAACGCCGCGUGAGUGAUGAAGGUCUUCGGAUCGUAAAACUCUGUUAUUAGGGAAGAACAAAUGUGUAAGUAACUAUGCACGUCUGGACGGUACCUAAUCAGAAAACCACGGCUAACUACGU